AUUUGCCUACGGGGGGCAGCAGUGGGGAAUAUUGCACAAUGGGGGAAACCCUGAUGCAGCGACGCCGCGUGAGCGAAGAAGUAUUUCGGUAUGUAAAGCUCUAUCAGCAGGGAAGAAAAAUGACGGUACCUGAGUAAGAAGCACCGGCUAAAUACGUGCCAGCAGCCGCGGUAAUACGUAUGGUGCAAGCGUUAUCCGGAUUUACUGGGUGUAAAGGGAGCGUAGACGGACUUGCAAGUCUGAUGUGAAAAUCCGGGGCCCAACCCCGGAACUGCAUUGGAAACUGUAUAUCUAGAGUGUCGGAG
Molecule: ribosomal RNA, 305 nt
Filed under: uncultured bacterium
Lineage: Bacteria
Description: bacterial SSU rRNA
Rfam family: Bacterial small subunit ribosomal RNA
Source: RNAcentral